UACGUAGGUGGCAAGCGUUGUCCGGAAUUAUUGGGCGUAAAGCGCGCGCAGGCGGUCCUUUAAGUCUGAUGUGAAAUCACGUGGCUCAACCACGUGCGGUCAUUGGAAACUGGAGGACUUGAGUGCAGAAGAGGAAAGUGGAAUUCCAAGUGUAGCGGUGAAAUGCGUAGAGAUUUGGAGGAACACCAGUGGCGAAGGCGACUUUCUGGUCUGUAACUGACGCUGAGGCGCGAAAGCGUGGGGAGCAAACAGGAUUAGAUA
RNAcentral lists this ribosomal RNA (261 nucleotides) under uncultured prokaryote. RNAcentral describes it as "partial 16S ribosomal RNA". It matches the Rfam family "Bacterial small subunit ribosomal RNA", at positions 524 to 784 of the family's 1533-position model. The record is from RNAcentral.